UACGAAGGGGGCUAGCGUUGCUCGGAAUCACUGGGCGUAAAGCGCACGUAGGCGGACUCUUAAGUCGGUGGUGAAAUCCUGGAGCUCAACUCCAGAACUGCCUUCGAUACUGAGAGUCUUGAGUCCGAGAGAGGUGAGUGGAACUGCGAGUGUAGAGGUGAAAUUCGUUAGAUAUUAGGAAGAACACCAGUGGCGAAGGCGGCUCACUGGCCCGGUACUGACGCUCCAUGUGCGAAAAGCGUGGGGGAGCAAACAGG
This 257-nucleotide ribosomal RNA is filed under the name uncultured bacterium. RNAcentral's name for it is "partial 16S ribosomal RNA". It matches the Rfam family "Bacterial small subunit ribosomal RNA", at positions 524 to 776 of the family's 1533-position model. The record is from RNAcentral.